This 72-nucleotide transfer RNA is filed under the name Candidatus Woesearchaeota archaeon. Its description in RNAcentral is "tRNA-Ala". It matches the Rfam family "tRNA". From Rfam's summary of the family: Transfer RNA (tRNA) molecules are approximately 80 nucleotides in length. Their secondary structure includes four short double-helical elements and three loops (D, anti-codon, and T loops). Further hydrogen bonds mediate the characteristic L-shaped molecular structure. tRNAs have two regions of fundamental functional importance: the anti-codon, which is responsible for specific mRNA codon recognition, and the 3' end, to which the tRNAs corresponding amino acid is attached (by aminoacyl-tRNA synthetases). tRNAs cope with the degeneracy of the genetic code in two manners: having more than one tRNA (with a specific anti-codon) for a particular amino acid; and 'wobble' base-pairing, i.e. permitting non-standard base-pairing at the 3rd anti-codon position. Lineage: Archaea; Nanobdellati; Candidatus Woesearchaeota. The record is from RNAcentral.
GGGCUGGUGGCAUAACGGCAACGCGCCCGCUUGGCUUGCGGGAGACUCCGGGUUCAAAUCCCGGCCAGUCCA